GCCGGGCGUGGUGGCUCACGCCUGUAAUCCCAGCACUUGGGGAGGCCAAGACGGGUGGAUCACCUCAGGUCAGGAGUUCGAGACCAGCCUGACCAACAUGGUGAAACCCCGUCUUUA
Molecule: unclassified non-coding RNA, 117 nt
Organism: Macaca mulatta (Rhesus monkey)
Lineage: Eukaryota; Metazoa; Chordata; Mammalia; Primates; Cercopithecidae
Rfam family: Metazoan signal recognition particle RNA
About the family: The signal recognition particle (SRP) is a universally conserved ribonucleoprotein. It is involved in the co-translational targeting of proteins to membranes.
Source: Ensembl